GUGCUCACUUCGGCAGCACAUAUACUAAAAUGGGAACGAUACAGAGAAGAUUAGCGUGGCCCCUGCGCAAGGAUGACACGCAAAUUCAUGAAGCGUUCCACAUUUAA
This 107-nucleotide small nuclear RNA is filed under the name Prolemur simus (greater bamboo lemur). Lineage: Eukaryota; Metazoa; Chordata; Mammalia; Primates; Lemuridae. The record is from RNAcentral.